UGGGGAAUAUUGGACAAUGGGCGAAAGCCUGAUCCAGCCAUGCCGCGUGUGUGAAGAAGGUCUUCGGAUUGUAAAGCACUUUAAGUUGGGAGGAAGGGCUGCAAGUUAAUACCUUGUAGUUUUGACGUUACCAACAGAAUAAGCACCGGCUAACUUCGUGCCAGCAGCCGCGGUAAUACGAAGGGUGCAAGCGUUAAUCGGAAUUACUGGGCGUAAAGCGCGCGUAGGUGGUUUGGUAAGAUGGAUGUGAAAUCCCCGGGCUCAACCUGGGAAUUGCAUGCAUAACUGCCUGACUAGAGUACGGUAGAGGGUGGUGGAAUUUCCCGUGUAGCGGUGAAAUGCGUAGAUAUAGGAAGGAACACCAGUGGCGAAGGCGAUCACCUGGACUGAUACUGACACUGAGGUGCGAAAGCGUGG
RNAcentral lists this ribosomal RNA (417 nucleotides) under uncultured bacterium. Its description in RNAcentral is "bacterial SSU rRNA". It matches the Rfam family "Bacterial small subunit ribosomal RNA", at positions 355 to 764 of the family's 1533-position model. The record is from RNAcentral.